Molecule: transfer RNA, 73 nt
Filed under: Drechslerella stenobrocha 248
Lineage: Eukaryota; Fungi; Ascomycota; Orbiliomycetes; Orbiliales; Orbiliaceae
Description: tRNA-Arg (TCT) (tRNA-Arg-TCT-1-1)
Rfam family: tRNA
About the family: Transfer RNA (tRNA) molecules are approximately 80 nucleotides in length.
Source: RNAcentral
GCCCACCUGGCGCAAUGGUUAGCGCAUCUGACUUCUAAUCAGAAGGCUCUGAGUUCGAGUCUCAGGGUGGGUG